Molecule: long non-coding RNA, 437 nt
Organism: Gigantopelta aegis
Lineage: Eukaryota; Metazoa; Mollusca; Gastropoda; Neomphalida; Peltospiridae
Exons: 3
Source: RefSeq, a predicted model, not a curated record
CCAACGAAGGUUAAAAGCGAUAAUAUGAUUGGUCGGUUCCUGAACAGUCAUACCUGGGAUUUGAUUGGCUUAGAGAUAACAACAGGAAAAAACACGCCAUUUGCAGUUUGCCCAAAUAAAUUUAAUAAUAUAUAAUGACAAAACAUUGUGUAUUUGGCACUAUGAAUUUGAUAUGAGAUCAUUUUGAUUGAACAGAAACAAUCACAGUUUAUUACCGAAUACUUGGCUAUGGCGGAAAAUGAAGAACUUCGGUCAAGUUUCGGAUGUCUUACUAUUUUCGUCACGUUUGGAAGGGAAAAAAGAAAAAUCGUCAGCGCAUUCUGGUCAUCAUAUUAUGGAAAUAUUUGUGACUGCAUCCCAUCUGAAUGUUGGAUGACAUAUAUCAAGAUGACACUGAACAGGACAUAACUGAGGAAAAUGGAUGUGAGAGAAUCCAA